ACAGUUUCCAAUUAAAAUAAAAUUGACACAGUUGAUGUUCAAGUCCAUUGGAAAAAUUCUGAGAGGUGGGAAGGAAAUCUUAGCUUUAAAACCUGUGUGCCAUUGUGAGUUACUUGAUCCUGUAACUCCGACGCCUUUUCUUUAUAAAUCCAACCUUGGAUAAAAGUACUGGGAACUUCUCUGCUAAAAAGUCCCUGACUUAGCACUAUUCACAUAAAGGCCAUAAUUUUAGUAGCAUUGCUGAGUGGGGACCUUUUGGGUUGAGCUUAUUUUACCUUUUUUUUUUUCUUUAAUUCCUGGUGCUCCUUUAUCACCUUCUCUAAUCUUUUAAUGUGUCUGUUUGCAAUAUGGGGGUUAGACUUUUUAUCAUUACCUUUUCUUUUCCUUGGCUGUACAUUUACCUUUUUCACAAAUACUGUAAGCUGUCCUGCUGCUUGCAGGACUACAGGGCCUGGGCAGGGCCCCCCAGCAACAAUUCACCCACAGUGCACCUGCACAUGCCUUUCCUACAUGCUUGCUCUGUCUCGAACUAGUCACAAUCUUGUUUUAAGUGCCUUUUCAUUUUGACAGUGCUAUUAACUGAAGUUAUUUAUUAAAAUAAAAAGGCCUAAAUACAUU
RNAcentral lists this long non-coding RNA (618 nucleotides) under Mus musculus (house mouse). Its description in RNAcentral is "long non-coding RNA chr8:128732577-128733195". The record is from RNAcentral. Lineage: Eukaryota; Metazoa; Chordata; Mammalia; Rodentia; Muridae.